AUGCAAGACUACUUCGCGGAGGUACCUACAUACCCUCCUCGUCUCUUUCGCAGAAGGUACCGAAUGCGUCGUAGUUUGUUUGUGAAGAUUGUCACCGAUUGUGAGGCCGCCUCCGAUUACUUUAAACGUCGUAGAUCCGCCGCCAGUAUCAUGGGGUUUAGUGCAUAUCAAAGGAUAUCGGCGGCAAUGCGGGUAUUCGCUUAUGGCAUACCCGCGGAUUAUACCGACGAGUAUCUUCGCAUUGGGCAAGAUACAACCACGGAGUCCGUCCGUAGGUUUGCCAAGUUGGUCAUCCGGUUGUAUGGUGAGCAGUGUCUUCGGGCACCAAACGAGGAAGAUACAUGA
Molecule: ribosomal RNA, 345 nt
Filed under: Triticum aestivum (bread wheat)
Lineage: Eukaryota; Viridiplantae; Streptophyta; Magnoliopsida; Poales; Poaceae
Description: partial small subunit ribosomal RNA
Source: RNAcentral